Molecule: ribosomal RNA, 1382 nt
Filed under: uncultured bacterium
Lineage: Bacteria
Description: 16S ribosomal RNA
Rfam family: Bacterial small subunit ribosomal RNA
Source: RNAcentral
GCGGCGUGCCUAACACAUGCAAGUCGUACGCGCUUCGCAAGAAGCGAGUGGCGGACGGGUGAGUACCACGUGGGUAUCUACCUUGCGGUGAGGGAUACCGGCGAGAAAUCGCCGACAAUCCCGCAUAGGCUCGGCAACGAGCAAAGCUCCUUUUCGGGAGCGCCACGAGAUGAGCCUGCGCCCGAUUAGCUAGCUGGUGGGGUAAUGGCCUACCGGGGCUGCGAUCGGUAGCUGGUCUGAGAGGAUGAUCAGCCACACUGGGAUUGAGAACGGCCCAGACUCCUACGGGGGGCAGCAGUGAGGAAUUUUCCGCAAUGGACGCAAGUCUGACGGAGCAACGCCGCGUGCAGGAAGACGGCCUUCGGGUUGUAAACUGCUUUUACCAGGGAAGAGAAUGGACGGUACCUGGUGAAUAAGCCCCGGCUAACUACGUGCCAGCAGCCGCGGUAAUACGUAGGGGGCGAGCGUUGUCCGGAAUUAUUGGGCGUAAAGCGCACGCAGGCGGUUCGCUAAGUUCGAGGUGACAAUCACCGGCUUAACCGGUGAACGAUUUCGAAAACUGGCGGACUUGAGAACGAGAGAGGGACAUGGAACUCCGGGUGGAGCGGUGAAAUGCGUAGAGAUCCGGAAGAACACCAAUAGCGAAGGCAGUGUCCUGGCUCGUAUCUGACGCUGAGGUGCGAAAGCUAGGGGAGCGAACGGGAUUAGAUACCCCGGUAGUCCUAGCCGUAAACGAUGACCACUAGAUGUGGAAGGUAUCGACCCCUUCCGUGUCGUAGUUAACACGUUAAGUGGUCCGCCUGGGGAGUACGGUCGCAAGACUAAAACUCAAAGGAAUUGACGGGGACCCGCACAAGCAGCGGAGCGUGUGGUUUAAUUCGAUGCGACGCGAAGAACCUUACCAGGGUUUGACAUGUAGUCGCACCACCCUGAAAAGGGUGUUCCUUCGGGACGGCUACACAGGUGCUGCAUGGCUGUCGUCAGCUCGUGCCGUGAGGUGUUGGGUUAAGUCCCGCAACGAGCGCAACCCUUAUUGUUAGUUAAUUUCACUAACGAGACUGCCCCGAUCAACGGGGAGGAAGGUGGGGAUGACGUCAAGUCAGCACGGCCCUUACAUCCUGGGCAACACACACGCUACAAUGGCUGGUACAGAGGGCCGCUAACCCGCGAGGGGGUGCCAAUCUCACAAAACCGGUCUCAGUUCGGAUUGUAGGCUGCAACCCGCCUGCAUGAAGCUGGAGUUGCUAGUAACCGUGGGUCAGCACACCACGGUGAAUACGUUCCCGGGUCUUGUACACACCGCCCGUCACACCACGAAAGUCGGCAACACCUGAAGCCGCUGGGCUAACUCCUUGUGAGAGGCAGGCGUCGAGGGUGGGGUC